This 882-nucleotide long non-coding RNA is filed under the name Dasypus novemcinctus (nine-banded armadillo). Its description in RNAcentral is "lncRNA (ENSDNOG00000050514.1)". The record is from RNAcentral. Lineage: Eukaryota; Metazoa; Chordata; Mammalia; Cingulata; Dasypodidae.
CUCUCGGCCACCGCCAAGCAGUCAUUGAAAGGACACAGCUGCAGGAGCUGGAGGCCGAGCACUGAACAAAAGCACAGGGCGGGAGGCAGGAGUCCUGUACGUGCCCUGAACACAGUACCCUGCGGUGUGAACAACGGACUGGAAUCAGACAGGGCCGUGGCAGCCAGAAAACAAACAAAUAAAUAAAUAAGUCUUCCUGAAUCCGCAGCGACUUGGGCUGCCGUCUGUCAGAGAGCAAGGACCAAAUGGAUGGGAACUGAGCUACGGAUUCUCUGACUGCUGGAGCUCUGCCACGUCAGAGCUGAUGGGUAGCAGCACUGGCAAUAGCUCAGAAACUACUCCAUGGAGUGCCAGGUUCUGGGGUGUAUUUCAGAACUGAGUAGGGGGAGCUUGGGAAAAAGGGUGGGGGUGGCACCUGAGGUCUGCCAUUGCCUUGCCUGGGGGAAGAGACUGACGAGAGGCAGGGAGUGAACACUGACCUGCCCAGAACAACUCAGCCCAAAGAGGGGUUUGCUUCUUUUUGUAUUUGAAGAAGAUGAUGUCGCUGUGAUUCAUCAGGUGAAGAAACAAUGAGGCAGAAUGGUUCCCGCAGAGAAGGGUGGCGAGAAGAGGAGGCGCUCUGCCAUCAGAGUGGCGGUGACCAGGCGGCCUACCAUCAGCUUUCACAAGCACCUCCAAGGAGUGGGCUUCAUGGGGACUCCAAGAGACCCGGAAAUCUGCCAGGAGAUGGGAGUGCCAGAGGUGCACAUGAGCACGAGGCUCAGCCAGGGAUAAGGAACGGCCCGUAUGGUAGCUGUGUAUGGUUGACCAGAAGACGUAAUGAGGAUGAAGGUUCCCCUAGCAAGCUAUCUACACUGUUUAAACACCUAUGUACCUGUCGCC